RNAcentral lists this ribosomal RNA (433 nucleotides) under uncultured bacterium. Its description in RNAcentral is "partial 16S ribosomal RNA". It matches the Rfam family "Bacterial small subunit ribosomal RNA", at positions 29 to 507 of the family's 1533-position model. The record is from RNAcentral.
AACGAACGCUGGUGGCAUGCCUAACACAUGCAAGUCGAACGAGACCUUCGGGUCUAGUGGCGCACGGGUGCGUAACGCGUGGGAACCUGCCCUUAGGUUCGGAAUAACUCCCCGAAAGGGGUGCUAAUACCGGAUAAUGUCUUCGGACCAAAGAUUUAUCGCCUUUGGAUGGGCCCGCGUUGGAUUAGCUAGUUGGUAGGGUAAAAGCCUACCAAGGCGACGAUCCAUAGCUGGUCUGAGAGGGUGAUCAGCCACACUGGGACUGAGACACGGCCCAGACUCCUACGGGAGGCAGCAGUGGGGAAUAUUGGACAAUGGGCGAAAGCCUGAUCCAGCAAUGCCGCGUGAGUGAUGAAGGCCUUAGGGUUGUAAAGCUCUUUUACCCGGGAUGAUAAUGACAGUACCGGGAGAAUAAGCUCCGGCUAACUCCGUG